RNAcentral lists this ribosomal RNA (253 nucleotides) under uncultured bacterium. Its description in RNAcentral is "partial 16S ribosomal RNA". It matches the Rfam family "Bacterial small subunit ribosomal RNA", at positions 524 to 776 of the family's 1533-position model. The record is from RNAcentral.
UACGAAGGGGGCUAGCGUUGCUCGGAAUCACUGGGCGUAAAGCGCACGUAGGCGGGUCCUUAAGUCGGGGGUGAAAUCCUGGAGCUCAACUCCAGAACUGCCUUCGAUACUGAGGAUCUCGAGUCCGGGAGAGGUGAGUGGAACUCCGAGUGUAGAGGUGAAAUUCGUAGAUAUUCGCAAGAACACCAGUGGCGAAGGCGGCUCACUGGCCCGAUACUGACGCUGAGGCACGAAAGCGUGGGGAGCAAACAGG